Bombyx mori (domestic silkworm) is the source of this 304-nucleotide long non-coding RNA. RefSeq lists it as uncharacterized. The record is from RefSeq and is a predicted model, not a curated record. NCBI's taxonomy places the organism in Eukaryota, Metazoa, Arthropoda, Insecta, Lepidoptera, Bombycidae. The transcript has 2 exons.
AUUCACCCCUAAAAGGAGCACCGGAGACUUCUUAUCUUCCUCAUCAGCGAGGUCACUGGAAAUAAUAGAAACAUGAUAUGGAUUUUGUUUGAGUGGAACCAAUAGCCAGCCAGGAGUACUUCCACUACCUAUGAUUUCAUAUAUUGAGGAGCACAAGAAAACGUAACGUGCAACAAAAGACAUGCAGAAGCAAAAUAAAUAACAAAAAAAACAAAACAUACACAAAAUACUCACUUUUACUAUCGAACGAAGGCAACAAACUCAAGCAAUUCUUUCGUAAUAAAACUGAAAAUAAAAUACAAAA